RNAcentral lists this ribosomal RNA (469 nucleotides) under uncultured bacterium. RNAcentral's name for it is "bacterial SSU rRNA". It matches the Rfam family "Bacterial small subunit ribosomal RNA", at positions 328 to 794 of the family's 1533-position model. The record is from RNAcentral.
AAUCCAGACUCCUACGGGAGGCAGCAGUGAGGAAUAUUGGUCAAUGGCCGGAAGGCUGAACCAGCCAAGUCGCGUGAGGGAAUAAGGCCCUAUGGGUCGUAAACCUCUUUUGUCAGGGAGCAAAGGCGUCCACGAGUGGACGAAAGGAGAGUACCUGAAGAAAAAGCAUCGGCUAACUCCGUGCCAGCAGCCGCGGUAAUACGGAGGAUGCGAGCGUUAUCCGGAUUUAUUGGGUUUAAAGGGUGCGCAGGCGGAGGUGCAAGUCAGCGGUCAAAUUGCGGGGCUCAACCCCGUACUGCCGUUGAAACUGGCAGUCUCGAGUUGGAGAGAAGUAUGCGGAAUGCGCGGUGUAGCGGUGAAAUGCAUAGAUAUCGCGCAGAACUCCGAUUGCGAAGGCAGCGUACCGGCGCCCAACUGACGCUGAAGCACGAAGGCGUGGGUAUCGAACAGGAUUAGAUACCCGAGUAGC